RNAcentral lists this ribosomal RNA (412 nucleotides) under uncultured microorganism. RNAcentral describes it as "bacterial SSU rRNA". It matches the Rfam family "Archaeal small subunit ribosomal RNA", at positions 330 to 745 of the family's 1478-position model. The record is from RNAcentral.
GUGCAGCAGCGCGAAACUUUACAAUGUGCGAAAGCACGAUAAGGGAACUCUGAGUGCCUCCUAAGGAGGCUGUUCUGAUGUACUAAAAAGCAACAGAAGUAAGGGCUGGGUAAGACCGGUGCCAGCCGCCGCGGUAACACCGGCAGCCCAAGUGGUAGCCACGUUUAUUGGGUCUAAAGCGUUCGUAGCCGGCCAGGUAAGUUCCUUGGUAAAUUUAGCCGCUUAACGGUUAAGCUUUCGGGGAAUACUGCUUGGCUUGGGACUGGGGAGAGGUCAGAGGUACGUCCGGGGGUAGGGGUGAAAUCUAUUAAUCCCUGGGGGACCACCGGUAGCGAAGGCGCCUGACCAGACCAGGUCCGACGGUGAGGGACGAAGGCUAGGGGGCGCGAACCGGAUUAGAUACCCCGGUAGU